RNAcentral lists this ribosomal RNA (253 nucleotides) under uncultured bacterium. RNAcentral describes it as "partial 16S ribosomal RNA". It matches the Rfam family "Bacterial small subunit ribosomal RNA", at positions 524 to 776 of the family's 1533-position model. The record is from RNAcentral.
UACGUAGGUGGCAAGCGUUGUCCGGAUUUACUGGGCGUAAAGAGCGCGCAGGCGGUCGUCCAAGUCGCGUGUGAAAGCCCCCGGCUCAACUGGGGAGGGUCAUUCGAUACUGCUCGGCUCGAAGACAGGAGAGGGAAGUGGAAUUCCCGGUGUAGUGGUGAAAUGCGUAGAUAUCGGGAGGAACACCAGUGGCGAAGGCGACUUUCUGGCCUGUUCUUGACGCUGAGGCGCGAAAGCUAGGGGAGCAAACGGG